This 404-nucleotide ribosomal RNA is filed under the name uncultured bacterium. RNAcentral's name for it is "bacterial SSU rRNA". It matches the Rfam family "Bacterial small subunit ribosomal RNA", at positions 355 to 775 of the family's 1533-position model. The record is from RNAcentral.
UAAGGAAUAUUGCACAAUGGGGGAAACCCUGAUGCAGCAACGCCGCGUGAGUGAUGAAGGCCUUCGGGUUGUAAAACUCUUUUCUGAGGGAUGAGGAAGGACAGUACCUUAGGAAUAAGUCUCGGCUAACUACGUGCCAGCAGCCGCGGUAAAACGUAGGAGGCGAGCGUUAUCCGGAUUUACUGGGCGUAAAGGGCAAGUAGGCAGUGGUCAAAGUUGGGCGUGACAGAUCCUGGCUUAACUGGGAGAGGUCGUUCAAAACUAGAUCACUAGAGGGCAGGAGAGGGGAGCGGAAUUCCUAGUGUAGCGGUGGAAUGCUCAGAUAUUAGGAAGAACACCAGUGGCGAAAGCGGCUUUCUGGCCUGCACCUGACGCUAAGGGGCGAAAGCUAGGGGAGCGAACGG